UGUAUUGAGAAAAGGUUGAGAAAGUAUCUGUGUAUAUCUUUCCGUCUUAAAAAGGAGAAGAAAAUACAAACUUACACAGUUUCUGUGUAUAAGAAAGAGACAUGCAUUAUAAGCUAAUUUCUUUAAUAGUGUAGAUAUGGAUUGGGACACUCAAAUAGUUUAGAUGUAGAUUAGCCCCCAAAAUUUACACAUUUAAUUACAAAUAAAAGAAUGUAGAUUAGCCCCUCACACAGAGAUUGCAAAGAUUAUAUGCUUCGAAUGCAACAGCAAAAAAAAUGAGAUGGCAUGUUGAGCAUGAGCAUGAAUAUGGGGUAAUGCGUCAUUGUUCAGAUGCAACUAUGUGGAAGCAUUUUAAUGAGACACAUCCGUCAUUUGCUGAUGAGGUUCGGAAUGUAAGACUAGGACUAUGCACUGAUGGGUUUUAACCAUUCGGUCAGUCAGGACAACAAUAUUCAUCUUGGCCAAUUAUUGUCACUCCUUACAAUUUGCCUCCUUGGUUAUGUAUGAAGGAUGAGUAUAUGUUCCUAACGAUAAUAGUUCCUGGUCCGAAAAACCCAAAGGACAAAUUGGAUGUGUACUUUCAGCCCCUUAUUGCAGAGUUGAAAUAGUUGUGGAAAGUUGGAGUUGAGACAUAUGAUGCAUCUAAGAAGAAUAAUUUUAAUAUGAGGGUUGCGUUAUUAUGGACAAUAAGUGAUUUCCCUGCAUAUUCAAUGUUGUCUGGUUGGAGCACAACCGGCAAGACUGCUUCUCCAUAUUGCAAGGAAGAUUCAGAUGCAUUCACAUUAACAAAGGGUAGAAAACAAUCAUGGUUUGAUAAUCACCGUAAAUCUUACAAGCUGACCAUCCUUUCAGACGGAAUAAAACUACUUUUAGAAAGAACAAGACAGUUACAAAAAGUGCUCCCCCCAUUCUAUCUGAUGGGGAGAUUUUAGAACAAAUAGAACAUCUAGGAUUAAUGUGUGUCAUAGAUGUGGGUGCAGAUGAGAAUAACAGUCACAAAGCAAAAAAUAAGGCUUGGAAGAAACAGAGCAUUUUUUGGGAUUUGCCAUAUUGGAGUACUAACAUGCUUCACCACAACCUGGAUGUCAUGCAUAUAGAGAAAAAUGUAUUUGAAAAUAUUUUUAACACUGUAAUGAAUGUUGAAGGGAAGACAAAGGACAAUGCAAAAUCAAGGGAAGAUUUGAAAGAGUUUUGUCAUCAACAUGAGUUGGAGAGGAAUAUGGCAACAGGAAAGUAUCCUAAAGCAUGUUACACAUUAGACAAACAAUCAAAAGCAGAGUUGUGUGGAUGGCUUAAAAAUCUUAGAUUCCCAGAUGGUUAUGUGUCAAACAUGGGUAAGUGUAUAGACAUGCGAAAACUGAAGUUGUUUAGGAUGAAAAGCCAUGAUUGUCAUGUCUUUAUGCAGAGAUUACUCCCAAUAGCAUUUAGAGAAUUGCUUCCACAAAAUGUGUGGUAGGCAUUGAUCGAAUUGAGCAAUUUCUUUAGAGAGUUAACUUCAACAACACUCAGAUAAGAAGACAUGUUACAACUCAAUGAAAAGAUUCCUAUAAUAUUAUGUAAACUAGAGCGUAUAUUCCCUCCAAGUUUCUUUGACUCCAUGGAACAUCUCCUAGUGCAUUUGGCUUAUGAAGCAUGGAUUGCUAGUCCAGUGCAAUAUCGGUGGAUGUAUCCAUUUGAGAGGUAACUAGUUUAUUAUAUUAUUGUGUACUAUCAAUAUAUGGAGAAUUAAAAACCUUAUUGUAACUAAAUACUAAGUGGUACAGGUACCUUAGGAAGUUAAAAAAUAAUGUGAAAAAUAAAGCCAAAGUGAAAGGUUCCAUAAACAAUGCAUACUUAGUUGAAGAAGCAUCGUCGUUUUGUGCUCAUUAUUUCGAACCUCAUGUCAACACAAGGCAGCAAAAAGUUCCACGCAAUGCGCAAUGAUGAUGCAGUCAAACAUAUGGAUGAACAUCUAAGGAAUUUAUCAAUUUUCACUCAUUCUGGUAGGCCACUGGGAAAAGAAAAGGUUAGAUAUCUCAUAGAAGAAGAAUUUUAAGCAGCACAAAUGUACAUCUUGUUGAAUUGUAUAGAAGUAAAACCGUACAUUGAGCAAGUUUUUCUAAUAUUCAAUUAUUAUAAUUGUUGCAAUACCAUCAUUGAUUCAAAACAUGUAAUUGAGUGUUUUUAUUGCAUGCAGCAUUUUUAUUAAUGAGUUACACAUGAGCAAUCCAAAUAUGAAUGAUAAACAAGUUGAUGAGAAACUGGAGCAUGAAUUUGAUAAGUGGUUUAAUAAAUAUGUUCACAAUCCCUCCAAUAAUAUAUCAAGCCAGUUCUUAAAGGAUCUAUCCAAGGGUCCAUUAAGAAGUGUUAUGUCCUACAAUGGUUAUGUAGUUAACGGUUAUAAAUUUCACACUAAAAGCCAUGGUUCGCAUAGGGCAAUGAUGAACAGUGGGGUAUGCAUCAAGGGGACUAAUUACAGUACUGACGAGAGUGACUAUUAUGGACAAUUAAUUAAAGUGCUACGAUUGGAGUACCCCGGAUUACCAAUCAAAAGAACUGUAUUGUUUAAAUGUGAUUGGUUUGAUCCAACAACAAAUGUGGGAACAAAGAUUCAUCCAAAAUAUAAACUUGUGGAUAUUAAUCAUAAAUGAUCAUUCAAUAGGUAUGAACCAUUUGUUCUUUCUAUCCAAGCUACUCAAGUUAAUUAUUCCAUAUAUCCAAGCUUAAAGCGUGACAAGGAUGAUUGGUGGGCCCUAUUCAAAAUCAAAGCGAGAUCUAUUAUUGAUCUUCCUAAUCAAGUGAAUGUGACAACCCCCCCUGCAUAGGAAGAACCCUUUCAAGAAGAUGAAAUGGAAGUCCCUUUGAUAUAAAUUGAUGAUCAACAACAAUAUUUGAAUGAUCUAAGCAGUGUAUUAGUUGAAAUUGAUGAAGAAGACAUUGAGGAUGAAGAGGAAAUUAAGUUGGACUCAGAAAGCAAUGAGGAAGAUGGUGAUGAAUAUGAUAGUGAUACUAAUUAGAUUCAGGAUGUGAGGCAAUGGUCGUAAGGGAGGCUUAUUAGGCCAUUCACAGUCAAGGCAGUUACUUCGAUAGGAUGAGCCCAAUGAUUAGCUAGACCAGUCUGCACAGGUUCAACCUCAAGUUCCUUCACCAUCCACUGGGAGGUCGAUGCAAGAUCUGGAGGGUUCUACUGCUUCAACACAGCAUUGAGCUAUACCUCCACCUCCACCUCCACCUCCACCACCACCACCACCUAUUACCCCAUCUUUUGAGCCUGCAGUUGGAUCGACCUCUAGUCAUGAAGGUCAUUCAGUUGGGACAGUACCAAUAUCAUCGAUGGAUGGCCUAUCACUCACUACCUUCGAAAGAAAGAAACGAAUAAAGCUCAUUAAUGGCGCGUUACAUCCAUCUGAGGAAUGUGCUAAGAAGAUGAAGAGUAUCUUCAAGGAGAGAAUGGACCUAGAGGGGCACUGUUGGAAGACUGUUGUCACACCUUACCCCUCUGUAAGGUAUAACAUGAUCCCGUAGAAUACUUAAUGAACUACCGAACUUCACCUACCGAUAACUCAUUAAGUACCCUACAAGGGAUUUUAAAACAAUUUUAUUACAUUUUGGAAGUGGUGAGCAUUUUGGUAGGAAUUAAAAACCAUUUAUUCAAAGUUUAAUUACUAUAAAAAAAAAUUUUUUCCAUUUUAAUUU
This is a long non-coding RNA of Hevea brasiliensis (rubber tree), 3675 nucleotides long. RefSeq lists it as uncharacterized. NCBI's taxonomy places the organism in Eukaryota, Viridiplantae, Streptophyta, Magnoliopsida, Malpighiales, Euphorbiaceae. The record is from RefSeq and is a predicted model, not a curated record. The transcript is spliced from 3 exons.